GCUGUGAUGGCCGAGUGGUUAAGGCGUUGGACUUGAAAUCCAAUGGGGUUUCCCCGCGCAGGUUCGAACCUUGCUCUAAGCG
This 82-nucleotide transfer RNA is filed under the name Dallia pectoralis (Alaska blackfish). Its description in RNAcentral is "tRNA-Ser". It matches the Rfam family "tRNA". From Rfam's summary of the family: Transfer RNA (tRNA) molecules are approximately 80 nucleotides in length. Their secondary structure includes four short double-helical elements and three loops (D, anti-codon, and T loops). Further hydrogen bonds mediate the characteristic L-shaped molecular structure. tRNAs have two regions of fundamental functional importance: the anti-codon, which is responsible for specific mRNA codon recognition, and the 3' end, to which the tRNAs corresponding amino acid is attached (by aminoacyl-tRNA synthetases). tRNAs cope with the degeneracy of the genetic code in two manners: having more than one tRNA (with a specific anti-codon) for a particular amino acid; and 'wobble' base-pairing, i.e. permitting non-standard base-pairing at the 3rd anti-codon position. Lineage: Eukaryota; Metazoa; Chordata; Actinopteri; Esociformes; Umbridae. The record is from RNAcentral.